CAGCGGCCGCGGUAAUACGUAGGUGGCAAGCGUUGUCCGGAUUUAUUGGGCGUAAAGCGAGCGCAGGCGGAAAGAUAAGUCUGAUGUGAAAGCCUUCGGCUUAACCGGAGUAGUGCAUUGGAAACUGGGAGACUUGAGUGCAGAAGAGGAGAGUGGAACUCCAUGUGUAGCGGUGAAAUGCGUAGAUAUAUGGAAGAACACCAGUGGCGAAAGCGGCUCUCUGGUCUGUAACUGACGCUGAGGUUCGAAAGCGUGGGUAGCAAACAGG
RNAcentral lists this ribosomal RNA (268 nucleotides) under uncultured bacterium. RNAcentral describes it as "partial 16S ribosomal RNA". It matches the Rfam family "Bacterial small subunit ribosomal RNA", at positions 509 to 776 of the family's 1533-position model. The record is from RNAcentral.